RNAcentral lists this ribosomal RNA (399 nucleotides) under uncultured bacterium. RNAcentral's name for it is "bacterial SSU rRNA". It matches the Rfam family "Bacterial small subunit ribosomal RNA", at positions 358 to 774 of the family's 1533-position model. The record is from RNAcentral.
GGAAUAUUGCACAAUGGGGGGAACCCUGAUGCAGCAACGCCGCGUGAGUGAAGAAGUAUUUCGGUAUGUAAAGCUCUAUCAGCAGGGAAGAUAAUGACGGUACCUGACUAAGAAGCCCCGGCUAACUACGUGCCAGCAGCCGCGGUAAUACGUAGGGGGCAAGCGUUAUCCGGAUUUACUGGGUGUAAAGGGGGCGCAGGCGGCAUGGCAAGUCAGAUGUGAAAUACCGGGGCUCAACCCCGGGACUGCAUUUGAAACUGUCAGGCUGGAGUACAGGAGAGGCAGGCGGAAUUCCUAGUGUAGCGGUGAAAUGCGUAGAUAUUAGGAGGAACACCAGUGGCGAAGGCGGCCUGCUGGACUGUAACUGACGCUGAGGCCCGAAAGCGUGGGGAGCAAACA